UUCUCCCUUCCUCCCUCCCUCUGGAGACUCCUUUUACUUUGACUUCUACUGCUUUUCCUCUUCUUCUGCAAACUCUUCUUUCUUCCGUCGUUUUUGAUUCAAGUUUAAGUGAGUUUGUUUUUGAUGUAAUAUUGAGUAGAUCUGAUGGUUCAGAUUAGUUGUAAAAAAGGUGGUUUUUCUGUUGAAGAUGAACGGUGUUGAUCAAUCUUGGCAGUUAGGUGCGGCUCAUGCAGCAAGUUCUAUAAAAACAGUUUCAGUUGUUUUUGUUAUCAAUUAAUAAAAUUUCCAGAGGUUAUUCAGUGAAAUUCUCUCUGGUUUAGUUUGGCUGUUCUUGAUUUGCAUUUUAUACCGUUAAACACAAAAAACUAGGGUUUAAGCUUUCUUACUCUUCACACUUACAAAAACCUCAACGCAAAAGCAUUCAGUCUCUUUCUUUCUUCAUUCGAAACCCCUAGAGUUCCCCACAAUGAGCUUCGUGGCGUACAAAAUGAUGCACUGGCCAACCGGCAUAACCAACGGCGGCUCGGGUUUCAUCACUCACAGCCGAGCCGACUACGUGCCGCAAAUUCCGUUAAUUCAGACCGACGAAAUUGAAUCAGAGUGGUCCUCAAAGAAAGGAAUCAGCCCGGUCCCGGACCUCAUUGUUACUGCUGCUAACAUUUCGAAAUUUAUGUAGUCAGGGUACAAGAAGAGGGUAGUGAAGAAUUUAAAAAUUCUGGAGAAAGAAAAGCGGCAGUUUAAUGGAUGGAGUCUCCAGUGCUUCUCUCAAACUCUUUUGCCAUUACAGAUUGCAUGGUAAUGUGGAAUCAAUGCUUAUAUUGUCAAAAGGAAGGAGUGACAGUUCUAGGAGAAGAUAUUCGAUCAUUUUGUCUUUUCAAGAUGCCAAAAUAUCAGUUUUGGAGUUUGAUGAUUCAGUUCAUGGACUUCGUACAAUGGAAAGAUCUAAUGGCCUUUUCUUGAUUGGAAGUUUCAUUAUUGUUAAAGUAUUUGUCAAGACAGUGUAGUUGAAAUUUUGAUGGAGGUUGAUCUCCUUUUACAGCUCUAUGCACUUGCAAGAGGCCCGGUGGCAAAGGUUGAUCCUCAAGGCAGGUUAUAUUCAGCCUGUGAUGGUCAUCCUUCAUGAGCAGGAGAUUACUUGGGCUGGGCGUGUGUCAUGGAAGCACCGCACUUGCAUGAUUUCUGCACUAAGUAUCGGCACAACUUUAAAGCAGCAUCCACUUAUAUGGUCAGCCAUGACUCUUCCGCAUGAUGCUUACAAGCUACUUGCUGUGCCAUUCCCAACUGGUGGUGUUCUUGUGGUUGGUGUGAAUACAAUUCAUUAUCAUAGUCAGGUAAAAAAAUUUCAGGUUUAGGGUGUCGUUCAAAAAGGCAUAUAUUUUCUUAGUUGGAAGGAACGGGGGGCUCAACUAAACUUAUUGGUAGAUGGAAGCAUUCUUGAGUCUCAGUUUCGGAUGACCAAAAAGAUGUCCAGGUUGCAGUCCCUACAGAAAAAGCUUGCUGAUGCUGUUGCCCAUGUUGCUGGCUCAAAUCCAAGAUCUUUCCGCCAGUUUCGAUCAAAUGGAAAGGGCCAUCGGCCUGGCCUUGAUAGCAUAGUUGAUAGUGAACUGCUUGGCCAUUAUGAGAUGCUCCCUUGAGGUGCCAGUGGGCUGGGCCAAUGCCCGUCACUUGGUAAGCCUUGGUGUUGGCCCGGCCCGACAAAAACUCAAGGCCUAUGGGACCACAGCUCCCCCAUGGGCUCU
Mangifera indica (mango) is the source of this 1739-nucleotide long non-coding RNA. RefSeq lists it as uncharacterized. NCBI's taxonomy places the organism in Eukaryota, Viridiplantae, Streptophyta, Magnoliopsida, Sapindales, Anacardiaceae. The transcript has 7 exons. The record is from RefSeq and is a predicted model, not a curated record.